This 305-nucleotide ribosomal RNA is filed under the name uncultured bacterium. RNAcentral's name for it is "bacterial SSU rRNA". It matches the Rfam family "Bacterial small subunit ribosomal RNA", at positions 337 to 634 of the family's 1533-position model. The record is from RNAcentral.
GCCUACGGGGGGCAGCAGUAGGGAAUCUUCCACAAUGGGCGAAAGCCCGAUGGAGCAACGCCGCGUGGGUGAAGAAGGUCUUCGGAUCGUAAAACCCUGUUGUUAGAGAAGAAAGUGCGUGAGAGUAACUGUUCACGUUUCGACGGUAUCUAACCAGAAAGCCACGGCUAACUACGUGCCAGCAGCCGCGGUAAUACGUAGGUGGCAAGCGUUAUCCGGAUUUAUUGGGCGUAAAGGGAACGCAGGCGGUCUUUUAAGUCUGAUGUGAAAGCCUUCGGCUUAACCGGAGUAGUGCAUUGGAAACU